GAUUAACGCUGGCGGCGCACAUAAGACAUGCAAGUCGAACGGACUUAAUCGAUUCUUUUAGAUUCGAAGCGGUUAGUGGCGGACUGGUGAGUAACACGUAAGCAACCUGCCUAUUAGAGGGGAAUAACAGUGAGAAAUCAUUGCUAAUACCGCAUAAGCCCACAGCACCGCAUGGUGCAGCGGGAAAAGGAUUUAUUCGCUUUGAGAUGGACUCGCGUCCAAUUAGCUAGUUGGUGAGGUAACGGCCCACCAAGGCGACGAUUGGUAGCCGGUCUGAGAGGAUGAACGGCCACAUUGGGACUGAGACACGGCCCAG
RNAcentral lists this ribosomal RNA (316 nucleotides) under uncultured bacterium. RNAcentral describes it as "bacterial SSU rRNA". It matches the Rfam family "Bacterial small subunit ribosomal RNA", at positions 28 to 334 of the family's 1533-position model. The record is from RNAcentral.